This is a long non-coding RNA of Stegodyphus dumicola, 730 nucleotides long. The record is from RefSeq and is a predicted model, not a curated record. NCBI's taxonomy places the organism in Eukaryota, Metazoa, Arthropoda, Arachnida, Araneae, Eresidae.
GAGGUGAAAGCAGGGUCCUGACAUCGGGGCGGCUUUCGUGUAUCGUCCGGAUCCUGCAACUGUUCAGAAAAAUAACAUUGCCUAACAGGGGCUGAUGUUGGAUGGCCGAAAAGUGAUGAAGGGCGAGAUGGUGUAGGAAAUAAAGUAACGAUCUUAUGCUACGAGCAGCUGCAACAUUUGCCAAGGCGAGGAGACGAUACACCAGAUAUUUUGAAACAACUCAGUAAAACAGGUUAAUAACAUCAGCUGAAAAAAUGGAUCUUCUAAUUUCAAGCCAAUUGUCAUUUCAGUUGGAAAGAUAGAACAGAAAAUAUGGCCAGAAACCCCUCAAGUAUGCUUUUGUGAAAACUGUUGCAGCCCCAUUUGUGAGAUUUGGUAAUUCCUUGCCAACUUGACGAUAUUUUAAAAACAUUUCUGAAAAAUUACUUUUCAAAACAUUGGGGCCGAUUUUUCUCCGAAUUUCGAUAUAUGCUUUCCAUUGAAAAAAUAAAUAAGAGAUUGCAGUUGCCAUAAGUUAAUUAGUUCAGUUUAGCAUUUACGCUCUUGAGCGUCUUAUUCAAUGUUUACUGCUUCCAGCUUUGCUGUGCAAAUAAUUUUGAUAUGUGAUAUUCCUCACAUGUUAAAGAGAACUCGUCUUGUCUCUGUUGUUUCUCUCCUUGUAUUACUAUUUGCCUUGCUCGUAUAAGCUGAUGUUUAUCUAAAUAAAGAUUCAGAUAUCUCUGGCCUGUUU